Molecule: small nuclear RNA, 104 nt
Organism: Molossus molossus (Pallas's mastiff bat)
Lineage: Eukaryota; Metazoa; Chordata; Mammalia; Chiroptera; Molossidae
Source: RefSeq, a predicted model, not a curated record
GCCCUCUUGGGAGGCACAUAAUACUAAAACUGAAAUGACAUAGCAGAUUUGCAUGGCCCCUGUACAAGAAUAACACAUAUAUUCAUGAAUCAUUUUUUUUUUUU